Molecule: ribosomal RNA, 491 nt
Filed under: uncultured bacterium
Lineage: Bacteria
Description: bacterial SSU rRNA
Rfam family: Bacterial small subunit ribosomal RNA
Source: RNAcentral
AUUGAACGCUGGCGGCAUGCUUUACACAUACAAGUCGAACGGUAACAGGUCUUCGGAUGCUGACGAGUGGCGAACGGGUGAGUAAUGUAUCGGAACGUGCCCAGUAGUGGGGGAUAACUACUCGAAAGAGUGGCUAAUACCGCAUGAGAACUGAGGUUGAAAGCGGGGGACCUUCGGGCCUCGCGCUACUGGAGCGGCCGAUAUCAGAUUAGGUAGUUGGUGGGGUAAAGGCCUACCAAGCCGACGAUCUGUAGCUGGUCUGAGAGGACGACCAGCCACACUGGGACUGAGACACGGCCCAGACUCCUACGGGAGGCAGCAGUGGGGAAUUUUGGACAAUGGACGCAAGUCUGAUCCAGCAAUGCCGCGUGCAGGACGAAGGCCUUCGGUUGUAACUGCUUUGUACAGACGAAAAGGUUACUCUAAUACAAGAGGCUUAUGACGGUACUGUAAGAAUAAGCACCGGCUAACUACGUGCCAGCAGCCGCGGU